GAUGAACGCUGGCGGCGUGCUUAACACAUGCAAGUCGAACGGAAAGGCUCCUUCUUGGUGGCGUACUCGAGUGGCGCACGGGAGAGUAUCACGUGGGGGAUCUGACCUGCACUUCGGGAUAAGCCUGGGAAACUGGGUCUAAUACCGCAGAGGAACACAUUUGGGAGGGUGUGGUGGAGAGUCUGACGGUGUGGGAGGAGCUCGCGGAGUGUCAGAUUGCCGUGGGGGUAAUGGCCUACCAAGGCGUCGACGGGUACCCUGGCUGAGAGGAUGUACGGACAAGCUAGAACUGAACUGCGACCCGGACUAGUACGGGAGGCGACAGAGGGGAAGAUAGCACAAUGCAAGGAAGCCUGAUGUAGCGAAGCCGCGUGGGGGAUGAGGGCCAUCGGGAUGGAAACUCAACUCGCUAGGCAGGAAGAGAUGUUGUGACGGUACCUGGAGAAGAAGCACCGGCUAACUACGUG
This 467-nucleotide ribosomal RNA is filed under the name uncultured bacterium. RNAcentral describes it as "partial 16S ribosomal RNA". It matches the Rfam family "Bacterial small subunit ribosomal RNA", at positions 28 to 507 of the family's 1533-position model. The record is from RNAcentral.